This 370-nucleotide RNase P RNA is filed under the name Symmachiella macrocystis. Its description in RNAcentral is "Planctomycetes bacterium CA54 RNaseP_bact_a". It matches the Rfam family "Bacterial RNase P class A". Rfam says of the family: Ribonuclease P (RNase P) is a ubiquitous endoribonuclease, found in archaea, bacteria and eukarya as well as chloroplasts and mitochondria. Its best characterised activity is the generation of mature 5'-ends of tRNAs by cleaving the 5'-leader elements of precursor-tRNAs. Lineage: Bacteria; Pseudomonadati; Planctomycetota; Planctomycetia; Planctomycetales; Planctomycetaceae. The record is from RNAcentral.
GGAGUGGGCUAAGCGAUCGCUGCGAGACGACAGUCUCGGAGAGGAAAGUCCGGGCUUCAUAGGGUACAGCGGUGGGUAACGCCCACCGUCCGCGAGGAUCGGGAAAGUGCAACAGAAAGAAUACCGCCCGCAAGGGUAAGGGUGAAAUGGUGGGGUAAGAGCCCACCGCGAGGCGGGUGACCGUCUCGGCAUGGCAAACCCCGCUGGAAGCAAGACCAAGCAGAAAGCAGUUCCGGGAAGUCCGCUUCCCGGGCGCGAGUCGUCCCGGCUCGUUACGACUUUCGGGUAGGUUGCUAGAGGCGGCGAGCAAUCGUCGUCGUAGAGAAAUGAUCGCUCACGACACAACCCGGCUUACAGGCCCACUCCGGUU